This 381-nucleotide ribosomal RNA is filed under the name uncultured eukaryote. RNAcentral describes it as "partial 18S ribosomal RNA". It matches the Rfam family "Eukaryotic small subunit ribosomal RNA", at positions 592 to 976 of the family's 1831-position model. The record is from RNAcentral.
CAAUAGCGUAUAUUAAAGCUGUUGCGGUUAAAAAGCUCGUAGUUGGAUUUCUGUCAAGGACAACUGGUCCGCCCUCCGGGUGAGCACAUAGUUUGGUCUUGACAUCUUGCUGGAAGCUGUUACUGCACUUGGCUGUGUGGCGCAGUGUUCAGCACUUUCACUUUGAGGAAAUUGGAGUGUUUCAAGCAGGCACAUGCCUUUGGACACAGUAGCAUGGAAUAAUUAGAUUGGGCUUUUGCUCCAAUUUGUCGGUUUCUGGAGCUGAGGUGAGUAUUAAUGGGGAUUGUUGGGGGCAUCCGAAUUUAGCCGUCAGAGGUGAAAUUCUUGGAUCUGCUAAAGACGGACAACUGCGAAAGCGUUUGCCCAGGAUGUUUUCAUUGA